This is a long non-coding RNA of Pomacea canaliculata, 1339 nucleotides long. RefSeq lists it as uncharacterized. The transcript has 3 exons. The record is from RefSeq and is a predicted model, not a curated record. Lineage: Eukaryota; Metazoa; Mollusca; Gastropoda; Architaenioglossa; Ampullariidae.
CCCAACUUCCCCCCGAUAACCAUGCAGUAUAUAGCGCCAGACGAACAUAAUCGAUCUUAUGUAUGUAUACAUGUGCAUACGUUCAUACGUAUGGAUACCAUAAAUAACCAGCUGUUAAAUAAAAAUUAAAGUACUUUAUUUACUGCAUUUUUAUUGGACACCAUUAGGAGACAACAUUAAAAAUUGUAUGCGCACGAGGCACACGUGGGUGGGAAAUAUAUUUUACUGCUACGAUGGAAUGAUAUGUGCACACAUGCCUGUAGUUAUAAUUAUGUGCAUGAAUGUCUUGCCUUACACACCCGAGAAUCCAAAUAAAGACUCACGUCAAGGGACAUAAAACGAAAUGAAAACUGAACUGAAAAUAGCGAGUCUGCCUGAAGAGUUUCGUCCCUUUGCGCACCAUGACUCCAUGGAACAAAUGUUCACGUGUUUUUUCAGACAGCAGAAUACAAAGACCUAUGUGUGAGCUUCCCCAAUUAUUUCCUUUUUACUUAGCCUCAGAAGAAAAAAUGCUCCCCCCUUUUUUUCUUCUUUUUUCUACAACUUCUGAAUCUGCCCGUGGGGUUCGGUAAGAUUUAUGGAAGGUGUGUCGCAGUAUAGCGGUGUGUAAAGUUUGUAGUGAAAGUUUUAAAUUCUCCAUGCACGGCCAAACAAUUAAUAUCAUUUGGGCAUGUAAGCCCACACAUCGAUUAUGAACGCCGGCUUCGAGAUAAUGCGAGCUGCCGCCACUUUUAGAGAGUAUAUAUAUAUAUAGUGAUCAUUGGAACUGAUCGAGAUAUAUUUUUGUCUUGUAAAGAAGGAGCUGUGCAUUACAUACUAAAGAUGAUGAAGCCACUGGUGUUUGCCUUUCUCCUGGCGAUGACGGGGCUGAUCUCGGCGUCAGUCCAGGGACCUGGAUGCCGAUUCAUCAACCGCGACUGUGGAGACGAGAAACAGUGCUGCGCUGGGUUGGCAUGUAAGGACAUCAAAAGCACCAUCAACGGCGUGACUACUAUCGAGAGAAGGUAGAAAGACCCUCGUUGACAUGAUAUGCUCUCGAGUGUGGAAAACAUGGACUAACGGUGGGGUGCUUCUGCUGUACAUCUGACACGUGUACAGUACAACUGUACUCUCCGCUAUACAACUUAUCAAUUUUAAUUCUUGCUACAAUGUUUUCACGUGUGAGGCUCUAAGCAUUCCUAUAUCCCCGCCUGAUGAGUAGUUACUGCUGCGAGAGGAUAAGGAAUAUCCCGGAGAUGUUUCCUAUUUUUCUUGAAUAAAGCAACUUUCCAGUUUCAUUCUUAUGUAAUGAUUCCUUAAAUAAUACUUCAAGUGGAGUUUAAUGUGGAUCUUUACCUCC